RNAcentral lists this ribosomal RNA (426 nucleotides) under uncultured bacterium. RNAcentral describes it as "partial 16S ribosomal RNA". It matches the Rfam family "Bacterial small subunit ribosomal RNA", at positions 354 to 796 of the family's 1533-position model. The record is from RNAcentral.
GUGAGGAAUUUUCCGCAAUGGGCGAAAGCCUGACGGAGCAAUGCCGCGUGAAGGAUGAAGGCCUAUGGGUUGUAAACUUCUUUUCUUAGAGAAGAAUAUUGACGGUAUCUGAGGAAUAAGCAUCGGCUAACUCUGUGCCAGCAGCCGCGGUAAGACAGAGGAUGCAAGCGUUAUCCGGAAUGAUUGGGCGUAAAGCGUCUGUAGGUGGCUUCAAAAGUCUCCUGUGAAAGAUCAGGGCCUAACCAUGGACCGGCAGGAGAAACUGUGGGGCUAGAGUACGGUGGGGGCAGAGGGAAUACGCGGUGGAGCGGUGAAAUGCGUAGAGAUCGGGAAGAACACCGAAGGCGAAAGCAGUCUGCGGGGCCACAACUGACACUGAGGGACGAAAGCGAGGGGAGCAAAAGGGAUUAGAUACCCGUGUAGUCC